CUACGGGAUGCAGCAGUGGGGAAUAUUGGACAAUGGGGGAAACCCUGAUCCAGCAAUGCCGCGUGUGUGAAGAAGGCCUGCGGGUUGUAAAGCACUUUCGGUUGGGAGGACUGCUUCUAGCACUAAUAUUGUUGGAAGUUGACGUUACCUUCAGAAGAAGCACCGGCUAACUCCGUGCCAGCAGCCGCGGUAAUACGGGAGGGUGCAAGCGUUAAUCGGAAUUACUGGGCGUAAAGCGCGCGUAGGCGGCUAGAUCAGUCGGGUGUGAAAGCCCCGGGCUUAACCUGGGAACUGCAGCCGAUACUGUCUAGCUUGAGUACAGGAGAGGAGAGUGGAAUUCCACAUGUAGCGGUGAAAUGCGUAGAUAUGUGGAGGAACACCAAUGGCGAAGGCAGCUCUCUGGCCUGAUACUGACGCUGAGGUGCGAAAGCGUGGGGAGCAAACAGGAUUAGAUACCCCAGUAGUC
RNAcentral lists this ribosomal RNA (466 nucleotides) under uncultured bacterium. RNAcentral's name for it is "partial 16S ribosomal RNA". It matches the Rfam family "Bacterial small subunit ribosomal RNA", at positions 339 to 795 of the family's 1533-position model. The record is from RNAcentral.